AGGGAGCCAGGCAUGCUCAAUUUGAACUAUCUACAGCAGAUCACUUCAACAAACUGCGGUCGGGUCUGUUUCCAUUUGGUUUCCAGCAGCUCGAUCAAGCUGCACCAACUUCUAGAAUCCCCAGUCACAACUUCAUGGGCAUUAAUGAAAACAAUGAGAAAAUAUCUUGCUUGUUAACAGUUGGAAAUCCCACACUGAGCUCGAAGGAAAACAGUGAAACUAAGGCACAACAUAUUGUAUUGUUUGGUCAGCUCAUUCUCACAGACCAGCGGAGUUCUCAAAGCUUUUCUGGUGAUACAAAUGGAAAUAGUUCAUCGGAUGGAAAUCCAGAGAAGACAGCAAAUCUUUCUGAUGGUUCUGUUUCUGUAUUUCAGCAGAAUGGUCUGCAGGAAAAUUCUUCAGAUGACGGGUCUCCCUGGUACAAAGAUCACCAGAAAACUAAUCUUGGCUUGGAGACUGGUCAUUGCAAGGUGUUUUUGGAAUCAGAAGAUGUGGGUCGAACUCUUGACCUCUCAGUCAUUGGCUCAUAUGAAGAACUGUAUGGAAAGUUGGCAAACAUGUUUGGCAUCGAGAAUUCAGAUAUGCCAAGCUGUGUGCUUUACCGAGACAUGGCUGGUGCCACAAAACACACAGGAGAUGAGCCCUUUAGGUAAUUCUUAUAAUUUUCUUUUCAAUCCUUUUUGUUUCUUUGUUAUAAAGUUGGCUAAGAGACUUUAUUUAUGAUUGUCAUGGCAGUGAGUUUUUGAAGACAGCAAGGAGGUUAACCAUUCUUACAGAUUCAGGCAGCGACAACAUAGGAAGAUAGAGAAUGAGGAACUUAAGUUAAAAUGGGAUUCGUGGAGUGGUGACUCAAACCUGGCAAGCCAGGUGAAUGACGCCUGGACCAAUUCAGACUAGGCAGAAGAGUAUUUUUGGAUCCAACUUGAACAAAGAAUACAACCAUAGACAGAAGACUUUGAGAUGAAACUCCAUAUCAACACAUACAAUGUGUAGAUUUGUUUAAACACAGAGAUGUUGGUUAAGAGCUUGCAAGUCAAAUAUAAUUACACCAAGCAGACAAAGAUUCGUAAGUCAUGGAAUGGCUUGCUAUAUUAUAUAAUCUCUGUAUCUUUCAUUUCUAGAAGUCUUUGACUUCUAAUAUUUUCUAUCUUAUUAAUUAAUACUUUGCUGUAUUUUCUUGGGAUCCCAAGAAAGGAACGUUAC
Molecule: unclassified non-coding RNA, 1203 nt
Filed under: Hevea brasiliensis (rubber tree)
Lineage: Eukaryota; Viridiplantae; Streptophyta; Magnoliopsida; Malpighiales; Euphorbiaceae
Source: RNAcentral